Molecule: ribosomal RNA, 457 nt
Filed under: uncultured Rhodoferax sp.
Lineage: Bacteria; Pseudomonadati; Pseudomonadota; Betaproteobacteria; Burkholderiales; Comamonadaceae
Description: bacterial SSU rRNA
Rfam family: Bacterial small subunit ribosomal RNA
Source: RNAcentral
GCACAAGCGGUGGAUGAUGUGGUUUAAUUCGAUGCAACGCGAAAACUUACCCACCUUUGACAUGUACGGAAGCCUUUAGAGAUAGAGGCGUGCUCGAAAGAGAGCCGUAACACAGGUGCUGCAUGGCUGUCGUCAGCUCGUGUCGUGAGAUGUUGGGUUAAGUCCCGCAACGAGCGCAACCCUUGUCAUUAGUUGCUACAUUCAGUUGGGCACUCUAAUGAGACUGCCGGUGACAAGCCGGAGGAAGGUGGGGAUGACGUCAAGUCCUCAUGGCCCUUAUAGGUGGGGCUACACACGUCAUACAAUGGCUGGUACAAAGGGUUGCCAACCCGCGAGGGGGAGCUAAUCCCAUAAAGCCAGUCGUAGUCCGGAUCGUAGUCUGCAACUCGACUACGUGAAGUCGGAAUCGCUAGUAAUCGUGGAUCAGAAUGUCACGGUGAAUACGUUCCCGGGUCUU